Dioscorea cayenensis subsp. rotundata (Guinea yam) is the source of this 106-nucleotide small nucleolar RNA. The record is from RefSeq and is a predicted model, not a curated record. NCBI's taxonomy places the organism in Eukaryota, Viridiplantae, Streptophyta, Magnoliopsida, Dioscoreales, Dioscoreaceae.
AAACCAUGCUGUGGGCACUUCCACAAGAGAUUUUUGAAUCGCUCCGUGUCUCAAAUAAGGAUUCAAGCACCAUCUGAAAAAAUGACGAUAUUUCAUUACGAAGUUU